UACGUAGGGACCAAGCGUUGUUCGGAUUUGCUGGGCGUAAAGGGCGCGUAGGCGGCUUAACAAGUCACUUGUGAAAUCUCCGGGCUUAACUCGGAACGGCCAAGUGAAACUGUUAUGCUAGAGUGCAGAAGGGGCAAUCGGAAUUCUUGGUGUAGCGGUGAAAUGCGUAGAUAUCAGGAGGAACACCGGUGGUGUAGACGGCUUUCUGGACCGUAACUGACGCUGAGACACGAAAGCGUGGGUAGCAAACAGG
Molecule: ribosomal RNA, 253 nt
Filed under: uncultured bacterium
Lineage: Bacteria
Description: partial 16S ribosomal RNA
Rfam family: Bacterial small subunit ribosomal RNA
Source: RNAcentral